AAGACCUUGCGCUUUUGGAGCGGCCGAUGCCUGAUUAGCUUGUUGGUAAGGUAGAAGCUUACCAAGGCUUCGAUCAGUAGCUGGUCUGAGAGGACGACCAGCCACACUGGGACUGAGACACGGCCCAGACUCCUACGGGAGGCAGCAGUGGGGAAUUUUGGACAAUGGGGGCAACCCUGAUCCAGCCAUGCCGCGUGAGUGAAGAAGGCCUUCGGGUUGUAAAGCUCUUUCAGCCGGAACGAAACGGUUACGGUUAACACCCGUGACUACUGACGGUACCGGAAGAAGAAGCACCGGCUAACUACGUGCCAGCAGCCGCGGUAAUACGUAGGGUGCGAGCGUUAAUCGGAAUUACUGGGCGUAAAGCGUGCGCAGGUGGUUUUGUAAGUCAGAUGUGAAAGCCCCGGGCUCAACCUGGGAACU
Molecule: ribosomal RNA, 423 nt
Filed under: uncultured bacterium
Lineage: Bacteria
Description: bacterial SSU rRNA
Rfam family: Bacterial small subunit ribosomal RNA
Source: RNAcentral